RNAcentral lists this transfer RNA (76 nucleotides) under Ixodes scapularis (black-legged tick). It matches the Rfam family "tRNA". Rfam says of the family: Transfer RNA (tRNA) molecules are approximately 80 nucleotides in length. Lineage: Eukaryota; Metazoa; Arthropoda; Arachnida; Ixodida; Ixodidae. The record is from Rfam by way of RNAcentral.
GCAGUCGUGGGCGAGUGGUUAAGGCGAUAGACUAGAAUGGGGCCUCCCCGCACAGGUUCGAAUCCUGUCGACUGCG